This 388-nucleotide ribosomal RNA is filed under the name uncultured bacterium. RNAcentral describes it as "bacterial SSU rRNA". It matches the Rfam family "Bacterial small subunit ribosomal RNA", at positions 28 to 417 of the family's 1533-position model. The record is from RNAcentral.
GACGAACGCUGGCGGCGUGCUUAACACAUGCAAGUCGAGCGGUAAGGCCCUUUCGGGGGUACACGAGCGGCGAACGGGUGAGCAACACGUGGGUGACCUGCCCUCAGCUCUGGGAUAAGCCUGGGAAACCGGGUCUAAUACCGGAUAUGACUCCAUGACGCAUGUUGUGGGGUGGAAAGCCUUGUGCGGCUGAGGAUGGGCCCGCGGCCUAUCAGCUUGUUGGUGGGGUGAUGGCCUACCAAGGCGACGACGGGUAGCCGGCCUGAGAGGGCGACCGGCCACACUGACACUGAAUAACGGGUCAGACUCCUACGGGAGGCAGCAGUGGGGAAUCUUGCGCAAUGGGCGAAAGCCUGACGCAGCGACGCCGCGUGAGGGAUGACGGCCU